This 466-nucleotide ribosomal RNA is filed under the name uncultured organism. Its description in RNAcentral is "bacterial SSU rRNA". It matches the Rfam family "Bacterial small subunit ribosomal RNA", at positions 28 to 507 of the family's 1533-position model. The record is from RNAcentral.
GACGAACGCUGGCGGCGUGCUUAACACAUGCAAGUCGAACGGAAAGGCCCUUCGGGGUACUCGAGUGGCGAACGGGUGAGUAACACGUGGGUGAUCUGCCCCUGACUUUGGGAUAAGCCUGGGAAACUGGGUCUAAUACCGGAUAUUACCUUCCACUGCAUGGUGGGGGGUGGAAAGCUUUUGCGGUUAGGGAUGGGCCCGCGGCCUAUCAGCUUGUUGGUGGGGUAAUGGCCUACCAAGGCGACGACGGGUAGCCGACCUGAGAGGGUGAUCGGCCACACUGGGACUGAGACACGGCCCAGACUCCUACGGGAGGCAGCAGUGGGGAAUAUUGCACAAUGGGCGGAAGCCUGAUGCAGCGACGCCGCGUGAGGGAUGACGGCCUUCGGGUUGUAAACCUCUUUCGCCGGGGACGAAGCCUUUCGGGGUGACGGUACUUGGAGAAGAAGCACCGGCCAACUACGUG